This 502-nucleotide ribosomal RNA is filed under the name uncultured bacterium. Its description in RNAcentral is "partial 16S ribosomal RNA". It matches the Rfam family "Bacterial small subunit ribosomal RNA", at positions 29 to 523 of the family's 1533-position model. The record is from RNAcentral.
AUUGAACGCUGGCGGCAUGCCUUACACAUGCAAGUCGAACGGCAGCACGGGAGCUUGCUCCUGGUGGCGAGUGGCGAACGGGUGAGUAAUGCAUCGGAACGUACCCGGAAGGGGGGGAUAACGUAGCGAAAGUUACGCUAAUACCGCAUAUUCUGUGAGCAGGAAAGAGGGGGAUCGCAAGACCUCUCGCUUUCGGAGCGGCCGGUGUCGGAUUAGCUAGUUGGUGGGGUAAAGGCCUACCAAGGCGACGAUCCGUAGCGGGUCUGAGAGGAUGGUCCGCCACCCUGGAACGGAGACGCGGACCAGGCUCCUACGAGACGGAGCAGUGGGGAAUUGUAGACAACGGGCGAAAACCUGAGCCGGCCAUGCCGCGUGAGUUAAGACGGCCUUCCGGUUGUAAAGCUCUUUCGCCUGAAAAGAAAUCGCACAGGCUAAUACCUUGUGUGGAUGACGGUAUCAGCAUAAGAAGCACCGGCUAACUACGUGCCAGCAGCCGCAGUAA